This 109-nucleotide non-coding RNA is filed under the name human gut metagenome. RNAcentral describes it as "FMN riboswitch (RFN element)". It matches the Rfam family "FMN riboswitch aptamer (RFN element)". From Rfam's summary of the family: The RFN element is a highly conserved domain that is found frequently in the 5'-untranslated regions of prokaryotic mRNAs that encode for flavin mononucleotide (FMN) biosynthesis and transport proteins. This element is a metabolite-dependent riboswitch that directly binds FMN in the absence of proteins. The record is from RNAcentral.
AGUCUUCAGGGCGGGGCGUAAUUCCCCACCGGCGGUAAAGUCCGCGAACGCGUAAGCGCCGAAUCGGUGAAACUCCGAUACCGACAGUAUAGUCUGGAUGGAAGAAGAU